CUAGCGGCGGACGGGUGAGUAACACGUAGGCAACCUGCCUCUCAGACUGGGAUAACAUAGGGAAACUUAUGCUAAUACCGGAUAGGUUUUUGGAUCGCAUGAUCUGAAAAGAAAAGAUGGCUUUUCGCUAUCACGGGGAGAUGGGCCGGCGGCGCAUUAGCUAGUUGGUGGGGUAACGGCCUACCAAGGCGACGAUGCGUAGCCGACCUGAGAGGGUGACCGGCCACACUGGGACUGAGACACGGCCCAAACUCCUACGGGAGGCAGCAGUAGGGAAUUUUCCACAAUGGACGAAAGUCUGAUGGAGCAACGCCGCGUGAACGAUGAAGGUCUUCGGAUUGUAAAGUUCUGUUGUCAGGGACAAACACGUACCGUUCGAACAGGGCGGUACCUUGACGGUACCUGACGAGAAAGCCACGGCUAACUACGUGCCAGCAGCCGCGGUAAUACGUAGGUGGCAAGCGUUGUCCGGAUUUAUUGGGCGUAAAGCGCGCGCAGGCGGCUAUGUAAGUCUGGUGUUAAAGCCCGGGGCUCAACCCCGGUUCGCAUCG
Molecule: ribosomal RNA, 551 nt
Filed under: Brevibacillus agri
Lineage: Bacteria; Bacillati; Bacillota; Bacilli; Caryophanales; Paenibacillaceae
Description: bacterial SSU rRNA
Rfam family: Bacterial small subunit ribosomal RNA
Source: RNAcentral